CCCUUAGAUGUUCUGGGCGGCCCGCGCACUACAUUGGCACUCUCAACAAGUUCCUAGAUCUAAAACUUUGGGGUAUUCUAUUAAGUGGUGUCGUGACUGGGAUUAACCCUUGCAAUUAUUGGUUACGAACGAGGAAUUCCUUGUAAUCGCGGUUUAUCAGCCCGCGUUGAAUGCGUCCCUGCCCUUUGUACACACCGCCCGUCGCUCCUACCGAUGAAUCGUCCGGUGAAGUUCAUGGAGUGGUGGUUGUUCCAGCUGCUGUCGAAGUGAAAUGGACCUCACGAUUUAGAGGAAGGAGAAGUCGUAACA
Molecule: ribosomal RNA, 309 nt
Filed under: uncultured eukaryote
Lineage: Eukaryota
Description: partial 18S ribosomal RNA
Rfam family: Eukaryotic small subunit ribosomal RNA
Source: RNAcentral